RNAcentral lists this ribosomal RNA (253 nucleotides) under uncultured bacterium. RNAcentral's name for it is "partial 16S ribosomal RNA". It matches the Rfam family "Bacterial small subunit ribosomal RNA", at positions 524 to 776 of the family's 1533-position model. The record is from RNAcentral.
UACAGAGGUCCCAAGCGUUGUUCGGAUUCACUGGGCGUAAAGGGUGCGUAGGCGGUCGGGUAAGUCUGACGUGAAAUCUCCAAGCUCAACUUGGAAAUGGCGUCGGAUACUAUUCGGCUGGAGGAAUGGAGGGGAGACUGGAAUUCUCGGUGUAGCAGUGAAAUGCGUAGAUAUCGAGAGGAACACCAGUGGCGAAGGCGAGUCUCUGGACAGUUCCUGACGCUGAGGCACGAAGGUCAGGGGAGCAAACGGG